GCAUUUCAGGGAUUUUGUGUGCCCAGGCGGUGACUUCCGGACUUCUCCGGCGCAGAACACCGCCCGUGGCGAAGUCCGGCAGGGGGAGUUUGGGAACCCGUCCCCGGGGGCUCAGCGGCCGGAGGAGGGCGCGGAAGUGUUUCCUGGGUGAGCGCGGCAGCCAGACCCGUUUCCGGAAGGCUGAUUGCAUCAGGUUGGAGCUGCUGUGGGUGAGCUGCUGUGGUCUGUAGCCAAGCAUGCUGUGGUCGGAUCUGCCCAGCCGUGGAACAGAAACAUUUGCUGGAUGGAAAAUCCAUAAAAGAAAGCUCCUUUGAAAAGCUGAGGCUGACAAUAAUUUAAGCAAAAUCAGAUCAAUCUCUUUGGGCUGCCUGAUCUCCUUGGGUGCUUGCUAUUAAUUAACAGACUUUGUGGGGAAAAAAAGGAGCUUGCCUUCUGAGCUUUGUACCAAAGACCUGGGAAAACUAAC
Molecule: small RNA, 466 nt
Filed under: Pongo abelii (Sumatran orangutan)
Lineage: Eukaryota; Metazoa; Chordata; Mammalia; Primates; Hominidae
Description: processed transcript
Source: RNAcentral